GAAUAUUGGACAAUGGGCGCAAGCCUGAUCCAGCCAUGCCGCGUGUGUGAAGAAGGCCUUCGGGUUGUAAAGCACUUUCAGCGAGGAGGAAGGGUGUUGUGUUAAUAGCACAGCAUUUUGAGGUUACUCGCGGAAGAAGCACCGGCUAACUCCGUGCCAGCAGCCGCGGUAAUACGGAGGGUGCAAGCGUUAAUCGGAAUUACUGGGCGUAAAGCGGGCGUAGGCGGGUUGUUAAGUCAGAUGUGAAAUCCCAGGGCUCAACCUGGGAAUGGCAUUUGAGACUGGCAGGCUAGAGUGUGGUAGAGGUGAGUGGAAUUUCAGGUGUAGCGGUGAAAUGCGUAGAGAUCUGAAGGAACAUCAGUGGCGAAGGCGACUCACUGGGCCAUUACUGACGCUGAGGUGCGAAAGCGUGGGUAGCAUACAGG
RNAcentral lists this ribosomal RNA (425 nucleotides) under uncultured bacterium. Its description in RNAcentral is "bacterial SSU rRNA". It matches the Rfam family "Bacterial small subunit ribosomal RNA", at positions 359 to 776 of the family's 1533-position model. The record is from RNAcentral.